RNAcentral lists this ribosomal RNA (468 nucleotides) under uncultured bacterium. RNAcentral describes it as "bacterial SSU rRNA". It matches the Rfam family "Bacterial small subunit ribosomal RNA", at positions 28 to 496 of the family's 1533-position model. The record is from RNAcentral.
GACGAACGCUGGCGGCGUGCCUAACACAUGCAAGUCGAACGAAGCUUGACGAACGAUUCUUCGGAUGAAUUCUGAUAUGACUGAGUGGCGGACGGGUGAGUAACGCGUGAGCAACCUGCCCUUCAGAGGGGGAUAGUGUCUGGAAACGGACAGUAAUACCGCAUAAGCGCACGGCAUCGCAUGAUGCAGUGUGAAAAACUCCGGUGGUGUGAGAUGGAUCCGCGUCUGAUUAGGUAGUUGGUGGGGUAACGGCCCACCAAGCCGACGAUCAGUAGCCGACCUGAGAGGGUGACCGGCCACAUUGGGACUGAGACACGGCCCAAAACUCCUAACGGGAGCAGCAGUGGGGAAUAUUGCACAAUGGGCGAAAGCCUGAUGCAGCGACGCCGCGUGAGUGAAGAAGUAUCUCGGUAUGUAAAGCUCUAUCAGCAGGGAAGAAAAUGACGGUACCUGACUAAGAAGCCCCGG